This 484-nucleotide ribosomal RNA is filed under the name uncultured bacterium. RNAcentral's name for it is "partial 16S ribosomal RNA". It matches the Rfam family "Bacterial small subunit ribosomal RNA", at positions 30 to 507 of the family's 1533-position model. The record is from RNAcentral.
AUUGAACGCUGGCGGCAGGCCUAACACAUGCAAGUCGAGCGGAUGAAGGGAGCUUGCUCCUGGAUUCAGCGGCGGACGGGUGAGUAAUGCCUAGGAAUCUGCCUGGUAGUGGGGGAUAACGUCCGGAAACGGGCGCUAAUACCGCAUACGUCCUGAGGGAGAAAGUGGGGGAUCUUCGGACCUCACGCUAUCAGAGGAGCCUAGGUCGGAUUAACUAGUUGGUGGGGUAAAGGCCUACCAAGGCGACGAUCCGUAACUGGUCUGAGAGGAUGAUCCGUCACACUGGAACUGAGACACGGUCCAGGCUCCUACGGGAGGCAGCAGUGGGGAAUAUUGGGCAAUGGGCGAAAGCCUGAUCCAGCCAUGCCGCGUGUGUGAAGAAGGUCUUCGGAUUGUAAAGCACUUUAAGUUGGGAGGAAGGGCAGUAAGUUAAUACCUUGCUGUUUUGACGUUACCAACAGAAUAAGCACCGGCUAACUUCGUG